CCAAUAGCGUAUAUUAAAGUUGUUGCAGUUAAAAAGCUCGUAGUCGAACUUUGGGUUGGGCAGGCGGGUCCGCUGCUUCGGUGGCGAGUACUCGCUUCUGUCCGACCUUUCCUCCUGGGGAGCCGGUGCGACUUGCCUUCGGGCAGGAUGUGCCGGGGAGCCAGGACGUUUACCUUGAAAAAAUUAGAGUGUUCAAAGCAGGCGCACGCUUGUAUAGAUUAGCAUGGAAUAAUGGAAUAGGGCCUUGGUUCUGUUGUGUUGGUUUUGUGGAACCGCGGUAAUGAUGAAUAGGGACAGUUGGGGGCAUUUGUAUCUCGUAGUUAGAGGUGAAAUUCUUGGAUUUACGAGCGACAAACCUAUGCGAAAGCAUUUGCCAAGGAUGUUUUCAUUGAUCAAGAACGAAAGUUAGGGGAUCGAAGACGAUUAGAUACCGUCGUAGUCUUAACCAUAAACGAUGCCGACUAGGGAUUGGGCGAUGUUAAUCACGACUCGCCCAGCACCUUUAG
RNAcentral lists this ribosomal RNA (506 nucleotides) under uncultured Paraglomus. Its description in RNAcentral is "SSU rRNA". It matches the Rfam family "Eukaryotic small subunit ribosomal RNA", at positions 591 to 1092 of the family's 1831-position model. Lineage: Eukaryota; Fungi; Glomeromycota; Glomeromycetes; Paraglomerales; Paraglomeraceae. The record is from RNAcentral.